Molecule: unclassified non-coding RNA, 322 nt
Filed under: soil metagenome
Description: partial contains 5.8S ribosomal RNA, internal transcribed spacer 2, and large subunit ribosomal RNA
Rfam family: 5.8S ribosomal RNA (bases 1-120)
Source: RNAcentral
GAUGAAGAACGUAGCGAAAUGCGAUAAGUAAUGCGAAUUGCAGAAUUCAGUGAGUCAUCGAAUCUUUGAACGCACAUUGCGCCCUGUGGUAUUCCGCAGGGCAUGCCUGUUCGAGCGUCAUUUCAACCCUCAAGCUCUGCUUGGUGUUGGGCCACGCCCUCGCGGCCGGCCCCAAAGCCAGUGGCGGCGCCGUCCGGCUCUAAGCGUAGUACAUCUCUCGCUCUAGGGCCCGGCGGCUGCCUGCCAGAACCCCAAACUCUUAUGGUUGACCUCGGAUCAGGUAGGGAUACCCGCUGAACUUAAGCAUAUCAAUAAGCGGAGA